Molecule: non-coding RNA, 1237 nt
Organism: Phascolarctos cinereus (koala)
Lineage: Eukaryota; Metazoa; Chordata; Mammalia; Diprotodontia; Phascolarctidae
Source: RefSeq, a predicted model, not a curated record
UUGACCACAGUAGUAAGUUUUUAAAAAUUACCUUAUCCUGUGUUCUGAUUACUUUCUGUGUGUUCUUUUUAUCUUUCCAAAUAAAAUAUAGUUCCUUGAGGGCAGAAGCUAUGCUUCAUAAAGCUUCUCUUUCCCUGUAUAGAACCUACCACCGUGACAGCAUAUUGCGAGCGCUCGAUGAGUACACACUGAUGGAUGGAUUUAGUGAUGGAAAGUACUCAACUACAGGUUUGCAGUGACAGGACAGCCAAUGUUCAAAGGGACUUUCUGAGCUGGAACUAGUUCCCUCUCUCCCUCCUUUCUAGCACAACUGAGGAUCUAAGACACGAAGACAGAAGAACAGAAGAAAACAAAACACGGGACUGCUACCAAUUAUUUCAAACAAUAUCUUACUAUUCACAUUCAGGCUCAAAGUUGAUCAUUAAAAUAAAGAACCGUCAGGGUCGUUAUCUGUGCACGCAUUUGUAACAAUACUUAAAAAAAUCCUUAACAAAAGUAACAUUAGACUAUAUAGUCUGUCAAAUAACAGAGCAUUUCGUGUGAGUAGGUGGGUGCGUGGGUAGGUGGAGGAGGUUGGGUAAGUAAUGAGAAGUUGGAAGAGAAAUAACUCACCUGUGUAAAAUAUAGAACCCCUUUCAAGCUGUAUGGAAGGCAUAGCUGUCAUUUGUAAUCUGCAUUGGAUCACUACCCGGGAGCUUCUUUUCUCCUGACAGAGAGUUCAUCUUAAGUGACUGUCAGUGAAGCCCUCCCCCAGCCCUGACUAUGAGAGCUCCUAGCUGCCCCCCAUCCAUCAGAGGCAGAGCUGAGCGCACCGUCCCUCUGGCGAGCCGAGGUCUCCCUCACUGUUCUCUCUCUCUCUUCCCAGGCUCGGCACCCGGGUGCCUAUCCGAGCCCCUCUCCCGACUUGUCGGUCAAACAGCCUCACUAUUGUGAAGCUCCAUGCGCUGAGAACACAGAGCUUGGGCUUUGCGGCAGCACAUAUAAACCUGCAACUGAAAAUGAUUGAUUGGUCCGGGGACUAAAGAGAAAAGAGCAAAAGAGAAGAACUGAAGAGAGACAAACAUGGUUAGAGAACAGUGGACUGGAAGACUUAGUAGUGGAAUUUGGCCGUUUCGACUCUGAUCCUUUGGAUUAUUGCUUCUAAAAUUACCUGAUGUUGGCUAACUUACCUGCCAUCUCUAUACUUCACUUUUCUCACCUAUAAAGUGAAAUAAUAUAAUUCCUAUGUCACACAGGG